This 500-nucleotide ribosomal RNA is filed under the name uncultured Glomeromycotina. RNAcentral describes it as "partial small subunit ribosomal RNA". It matches the Rfam family "Eukaryotic small subunit ribosomal RNA", at positions 591 to 1092 of the family's 1831-position model. Lineage: Eukaryota; Fungi; Glomeromycota. The record is from RNAcentral.
CCAAUAGCGUAUAUUAAAGUUGUUGCAGUUAAAAAGCUCGUAGUUGAAUUUCGGGAUCAGUUCGCUGGUCGUGCCUCUGGUAUGUACUGGUGUUUCUGAUUCCUCCCUUCUGACGAACUGUCAUGUCAUUAAUUUGGUGUGGCGGGAAAUCAGGACUGUUACUUUGAAAAAAUUAGAGUGUUUAAAGCAGGCUCGCGCUUGAAUACAUUAGCAUGGAAUAAUGAAAUAGGACGUUCGAUCCUAUUUUGUUGGUUUCUAGGAUUGACGUAAUGAUUAAUAGGGAUAGUUGGGGGCAUUAGUAUUCAAUUGUCAGAGGUGAAAUUCUUGGAUUUAUUGAAGACUAACUACUGCGAAAGCAUUUGCCAAGGAUGUUUUCAUUAAUCAAGAACGAAAGUUAGGGGAUCGAAGACGAUCAGAUACCGUCGUAGUCCUAACCAUAAACUAUGCCGACUAGGGAUCGGAUGAUGUUAAUUUUUUAAUGACUCAUUCGGCGCCUUACG